AGCAAGGAGAGGACUGGGUGAAUGUAAGAUACAGGAAGAGGAACAAAUAGGAAGACAUCUCCUCUACUUCAUGCCUGAUCCAGCCCAGCCCAGCCUCUUCAGCCAUGUAGGAAGCUGCGUAUAAUAUCGCAAGGGGUGGCCCUUGCCCUGGUGAUGUCAACAGCAGCUCUGGCUCUCAGGGAGGGUCAGAGCCACCUCUCAGGGACCAGGGGCAGAGCCACCUCUCAGGGACCAGGCAGACCCACCUCUCAGGGACCAGGGGCUCUCGGAGCUCCCACCUUCAAACCCAGAGAUCAGAGUCUGGGACAGACUGCCUUCUCUGGCCCUGCCAUGGGUCCCAGGCUUCUCCACUGUGUGGCCCUCUGUCUCCUGGGAGCAGGUCACCUGGGUGCCACAGUCACCCAGAGCCCAAGAUACCAGAUUACCAGGAUGGGGGAGCCAGUGACCUUGACUUGUUCUCAGGACCUGAAUCAUGAUGUCAUGUACUGGUACCAACAGAAGCUGAGCCAAGGCCCAAAGUUGCUGCUCUACUACUAUGAUCAGAACCUUAACAAAGAAACAGACACCUCGGACAACUUCCAACCCAGCCGGACUAACACAUCCUUCUGUUCGCUGGGCAUCCGUUCGCCAGGCUUGGGGGACUCUGCUGUGUACCUCUGUGCAACCAGCAGAGACACAGAGUGAGAGGGCUGCCUCCCCUCCACUCACAAACCUGCUCCGGG
Non-coding RNA from Artibeus jamaicensis (Jamaican fruit-eating bat), 722 nucleotides. The record is from the annotation of a RefSeq genome assembly. NCBI's taxonomy places the organism in Eukaryota, Metazoa, Chordata, Mammalia, Chiroptera, Phyllostomidae.